This 942-nucleotide long non-coding RNA is filed under the name Marmota monax (woodchuck). The record is from RNAcentral. Lineage: Eukaryota; Metazoa; Chordata; Mammalia; Rodentia; Sciuridae.
CAGGGGUCAUCCAAGGAGAGAAGGUGGAUCAGCACCCUUCUACCCUGAGGGUCCAGGAGGGAGACAGCGCUGUUAUCAACUGUACUUAUUCAGACACUGCUUCAUCCUACUUCCCUUGGUAUAAGCAAGAAGUUGGAAAAGGUCCCCAGCAUAUUAUAGACAUCCGUUCAAAUAAGGAGAUAAAUCAAAUGCAAAGAUUCAUUGUUGUGUUGGAUAAGAAAGCCAAACAUUUCUCCCUGAACAUCACAGCUACCGAGCCUGGAGACUCAGCUGUCUACUUCUCUGGAGCCAGUGCACGAUGCUUCCCAGACACCUGCAGCCUGUACUCAAACCUGACACUGGGCUGAGCCCCACCUGCUUCCGUUUUUUGCAAAGACCUUCCAGUAUUGCAUUUUCCAUAUUGUUUUUUUUUGUAAGUGGAAACUAGCAUAUAGGCAUACAAAGUAUAUAAUACAUACAGUGGGUUCAAGAUGACCCAGAGAGGGUCAGAACAUUUUAUUAGGUGAUUGUUGUUUGACAGAUUCUUAUGUUUUCUAUGUUUAUUGUACAUAUUUAGAGUAUAUAAUGUGAUGUUUUGAUAUAUACAUACAUAGUGAAAAUGAACAUCUAGGUGAAGUGAUGUGAGAUGAAGAGGGAAAGGUGUGGCACAGAACUUCAUGCCUACUCUGGGCUCUUCAUGCCCAGGCACCCUCACAUCUUCAUCAAUCCUAAAGCUGCACGUAAUGGAUUCUUCCAGGGAACUAAGGAUGCUUUGUUUCGCAAGCCAAGUUUUAAAGAUGAAUUAACAUUUGCUAUUUGAUUCCUCUCCUAUAAUAUCCCUUUAGUAUCAGUUUCACAAUCCUUGUCAGAUAUGGGCUACUCUUUAGAAAAUUAUAUUUGUUAUUUUUCUGAUUAGUAAACACUACAUGUUAAGCAUAGAAAAUAUAUGAAAUAUAAUAUAUG